AUCUUGAUAGCUCAGCUGGUGGGGCACUGCACCGGCAUCACAGAGGUGAGGGCUCGAGUCCCUUUCAGGCUU
RNAcentral lists this transfer RNA (72 nucleotides) under Acropora cervicornis. RNAcentral's name for it is "tRNA-Ala". It matches the Rfam family "tRNA". Rfam says of the family: Transfer RNA (tRNA) molecules are approximately 80 nucleotides in length. Their secondary structure includes four short double-helical elements and three loops (D, anti-codon, and T loops). The record is from RNAcentral. Lineage: Eukaryota; Metazoa; Cnidaria; Anthozoa; Scleractinia; Acroporidae.